Non-coding RNA from Cricetulus griseus (Chinese hamster), 301 nucleotides. Lineage: Eukaryota; Metazoa; Chordata; Mammalia; Rodentia; Cricetidae. The record is from RefSeq and is a predicted model, not a curated record.
GUUGAGAAGCACCAUGGACAGCACAGUGGCAUGCCUGGGACAUUCAGGAGGAGCUGGUAAUAAUACAUAUGCCACAGCACAGAGUGUACGGACUGCACUUCUCUAACAGGAAAGAAAAAGCUAUAGAUCUUUCCAAAAUUAAUAAAGAUCAGAUUUGAUUGGUGUGGGGACCUCCUGAGGAUCUUGGCUGCAGAUGUGAAAGAUAAAAAGGUCAAGAAAGACUACAAGACAGGUGAUUGCAAAAGGCUUAUUGAGACCACAGUUUGGAAGCUGAGACUUCAAGAAAGUGGUGCUGGCAUGG